This 443-nucleotide ribosomal RNA is filed under the name uncultured bacterium. RNAcentral's name for it is "partial 16S ribosomal RNA". It matches the Rfam family "Bacterial small subunit ribosomal RNA", at positions 338 to 795 of the family's 1533-position model. The record is from RNAcentral.
GCUACGGGUGGCUGCAGUGGGGAAUAUUGGGCAAUGGAGGAAACUCUGACCCAGUAACGCCGCGUGAAUGAUGAAGGUCUUCGGAUUGUAAAGUUCUUUUCUAAGGGAAGAAGAAAGUGACGGUACCGUAGGAAUAAGCCUCGGCUAACUACGUGCCAGCAUCCGCGGUAAUACGUAGGAGGCGAGCGGUAUACGGAAUGACUGGGCGUAAAGGGUGCGGAGGUGGUUUAGCAAGUUAGUAGCGUAACUCCAAGGCUCAAUCAUGGAACUUUUACUAAAACUGUUAGACUUGAGUGCAGGGGGGGCAAGCGGAAUUCCUAGUGUAGCGGUGGAAUGCGUAGAUAUUAGGAGGAACACCAGUGGCGAAGGCGAGUUGCUAGACUGUAACUGACACUGAGGCACGAAAGCGUGGGGAGCAAACAGGAUUAGAUACCCGAGUAGUC